RNAcentral lists this ribosomal RNA (238 nucleotides) under uncultured bacterium. RNAcentral describes it as "partial 16S ribosomal RNA". It matches the Rfam family "Bacterial small subunit ribosomal RNA", at positions 96 to 334 of the family's 1533-position model. The record is from RNAcentral.
CGGCGGACGGGUGAGUAACGCGUGGGUAACCUGCCUCAUACAGGGGGAUAACAGUUAGAAAUGACUGCUAAUACCGCAUAAGCGCACAGGACCGCAUGGUCCGGUGUGAAAAACUCCGGUGGUGUGAGAUGGACCCGCGUUUGAUUAGCUAGUUGGUGGGGUAACGGCCUACCAAGGCGACGAUCAAUAGCCGACCUGAGAGGGUGACCGGCCACAUUGGGACUGAGACACGGCCCAA